ACUGGCUCUAUCUUGAGUUAGUUAUCUUUGCAUCUUUGCUCCAAGUAUGCAUUUACCCGUGACUUGAAUAUGGAGCAAGAAAGACGAACCCGGAAUCAUAACGCCUGAGCGGAGUUGCCACAUCCGGUUUUCAGCGUAAAAGGAAGCUAGGUCACCCGGCACCAUAACAUGUUUACGUUUCUGUAACUAAGACUAGCUAAGUGUCUCGAUUCGCACCGUCGGACUCAGAGCAUUCAGUUUACAUUUCCGAAAUAAGCUAACCAGUUACCCACCUGGAAGAUGAAGUACUUUACUGUAGCACCAACUUUUUUUCAAGUUCCAAACUGUCUUAUGGAAGGCUAAGGGGGACCUGCAAAAUCAAGGUAGCUACAGUAAUAGCUAACUAACGUUAGCAAGCUUAGCUAGGCUAUUUGAUGUGAGCCACUAGUCUAUGACAAACAAUAGGCUACUCCAUGUACUGAUAAUUCAUGUUCUGCAAUCAAUGUGCCCUUGCAAGUGGCAUAUUUGCCUUCAAUAUAGACCUCAGUACAUAGCUGGUUAGUUAGAUGAUUUGGCUACUUGGUGGUACUCACUAUUCGCAUAUGUUGUGUGCCAAGUCUCAUUGGAUCUAACGUUACUGCAGUGAGAUGCAAGUUAGGCUUCUCAGUUAGCCUGAGGCUAGUUUGAUAAGCUGUAUGGGGGUAAUUCAGGACACAAAGCACCCAUUAGGUGUUGUGGUGUAAUAAACAGUCGUGUUUACAAGCAGACAUAGGGAAGUAGAGUGGGUGGACUCCCUUGGUCAGUUGGUGUAGGCCUAACGUUACACUUGGAAUCAACUGUAGUUACACCACUAUCUAAUAUUACAGAACCUCAGACUCUCACCAUUUUCACUGUUAUAAAAAGGACUUUAUAAAAUCAAUUGGAUUGAUAUGCUUCAGGAGAUAGGCCUGGUCAGCUACUUGGAAAUGACUAGGUCUAGCCUAACUUAAUUUAAAUUGACCCUGGGUGUCACCCAGAUAGCUAGUUUAGUUGGUGUGAGAUGGAUGUAGAUAUAAAGCCGGAGGAGGAUGAGGUGGAGAUAUCCCCAGCUGUCAUUUUGUCUGACUCUUUUGAUGCAAGUUAUUCAUAUGCUGAAAAUUUGUAUGACACAACAAAACAAAGCCUUAUUUGUGCUCUGUUAGAAGAUAGAAAAUCAAGUGAUACGGAGAUUAAAAUUAAUUCAACAACAGUUGGUGUUCCAGCUGUAAAUGUGGGUGGUAAAGGUGUUGUUCAUGUUCACACAGAACAGGAUAGCCCACGCACCUCUGUAGGGAAUUUAAUCAAAGAGGAGCCAUGUUUUUACAUAUCUCCCAAUGAUUUUCAGAUUGGAAAAGUAUGUACCUUUUCUCAGUCGCAGCAUCUAGUUGCAGAAAGUGUUUCUUUGGGAGGACAAAUCAACCCAACUGCACAGAUAUUUAGCAGCUUUCAAAUACAGCCCCUAAACAAUGAUCAAGUGCUGACUGAUUAUGUUAAUCUUCCAAGCCAAAGUAUUGCCAAACCGUUUCCGAUAAUUUCACCUGCAAUAGCAAGUGACAGUAAUUUAACUCCAGUGCUGCAAUCAUGUCAUAUGAGGACUCACAGGCCUAUUCUUCCAGCCUAUUGUAAACCAUUUAAUUUUACCUCUGCUCAAGAGGAAGACUACGACGUUAAAAUAAAAAAAAGAGGGAAGAAAAUGGUCAAGGCACAAAAAGGGAGAAAAGAUGGAGAUAUGUGGCGACAUCGUGUUAAUUACUCAAAACAUAUUUCACCAAGGUCGUCAGCUGGGAAAAAGUUGAAGGAUCCAUACUCCAACUGCAAGAAAAUUGGCUUGGAUUUCAAUGUUGGGUCUGGAUCCAAUCAGAAACUAGAUUUGCAGUUGCUGACUAAAGGUGUGAUGGUUGAGGUUUCUGAUUUUGCUAAAGAAGUUAAUAGAGCUCAGCAGCAUGUUGUCUGUGACAUUCUAGAGUACAACUUUGAUCUUGGUUUGCAAAAGCAUCAAAGGUAUGAUUUUGCGACACGUACUAUGCACAAAUUAAGAGAAUUGAUGAGAAAACGAAAAACUGUCCUAGGAAAACCUGAAUUGGUAAUGGAGGUGUUUACCCUUCCUGAUCCCAACACGAUAAAAGGAUCGAAAUAUGCCCUUUCAACUGCAAAGAAUUAUGACCGUGUGUCAGAAAAUCUUGAAACUGCUGGCACAUUUUUAAUGGACAAAUCUCAUCUGGACAUCGUAUCCAGACUUACUCACCAUGUCAAGACAGACAACCUGUUAACUGAGAAAGAUGUAACGCAGUGUGCUGGUGGAACGGCGUACAGCCUUGCAAGGGACCAAAACUGGCAUCUAAUGGCUUCUACAACGUCAAAAACAAUGAAGGACCCUUAUCCCCUCUGUAAGAAAAUAGGAUUAGAACUUGAUGUGAAAUCCAAUUUUGGGGCAAAAGAGAAACUUAAUUUGGAUUUAUUGACCAAAGGUAUAAUGAUUGAACUUGGUAAUUUUGCCAAAGAUGUUUGUGGAACUUACAAGCAAAUUGUCAUUGAUGUCCUAGAGCACAAUUUUGAUCUUGAUUUGCCUAUUGAGAAAACCAAGCUGUCUACCUAUAUUAUUACAAAGUUGAGACGAGUUGUUAAGAAAAUGACAUGCAUGGCACAUAGAAGGAAACCUCCAUAUUUAAAGGAAACAUUCUCACUGGGGGUUGGCACAAGAAAGAAACCUGCAGUGAUUUCCAGUAAAAUGCAGGUCAUUAACUCAAUUGACUCAAAUGUGUGGAAAUAUCAAGGACUGAAAAAAGUUACAGAAAGAAGACGAUUAGAUUUGAGAAGGAAAAAGGGAGAAAGAGCCACUUGCAAAGUAAGAGAAAUGAAGGCAGAGAAAUUUCAUAGAGGUAGACAAGUAGGCCUAGUUCCUCAGUCUGUGAAGAAACAGACCAUUUCCAACGAGACUGAACUCACAUUGUCAGCCGGAAAAAUGAAGGUCCCGGUCAGCAAAAUUAAAAAGGCAAAUGUGAUGCCCUUUGCAGAGAAAGUGGUGAAAAACUGCUACCCCUUGUGCAAAGAAGUAGGUGUGGAACUUGAUGUGAAAUCCAAACCACUAUCCAAAACAAAACUUGACUCACAGUUACUGACUAAUGGCGUAAUGUAUGAGGUUCAUAAGUUUGCAAAAAAUACAAAAAAGGCUUAUAUGUAUACUGUCUAUGAUAUACUGGAAUAUAAUUUUGAUCUAGAUUUGCAAAAUCAGAAACGCUGUCAAUUUGCCGUACAUAUUUCAUCUAAACUGAAACGAAUGGCUAAACGGAAAUAUGUCACAAAUGAAGACUUUUCAAAAGAAGUGUUUAUAAUACCUCUUGUGACUAGACAAUACAAGAAAAAAGAAGCUACUCCACCUGCAAGAUUGUCAAAAAGACAAUUGGAUUUGAAAAGGAUACAAGAGGCAAAUCAUACAGAGGAGAAGAGGAACUGUCAGGAGAUGGUUAGCAAGACCGGUUUGAAAAAUCUGGUCCCUGAUGCAAGGACUGUAGGGUCUCUGCAUGAUGAAGAGAUCAUCUCUAUCGAAACAGCUGAAACUGUCAAGCUUGGCCAAGAUAAUGGACCCACUGACUUCUGCUUAAAGGAGUCUGAUGUUCACUCUGGGGUCACAGAGCAAACCCCAUGCCCAGAGAACUACCAAGUUGACAUUUGCUGGAAAAUGAUCAAUGAAAUUGUUACGAGUAGUGAAAUGCAACAGAUGAGAUGGAUUUUUGUACCUUUUUCAAACUGUUUUGGUGUUGGGACUGGUUCGGAAAAGAAAUUUCAACAAAUCCUUGCUGAAUACAGAUCAGACAUCCUACCACUGGUAGUUGAGAAACAUUGUGGCUUUAGUUCCACUGAAAAGACAAUGAUGUGCCUUGUAAGUCAGCUCUUCUGUGGCUUACAUUUGAUUGAUGGCUUAGCUCACCAGGCAAAAACAACUCUUCUACUUUGGGAAAAUAUGAUUUUAGGAGAUAAAGAAGUAGGAGUCCAUAGCUCCCCUAACAUUGAGACAACAGAGUUGGAGUCUGGAACAGUGCGUUUGGUGAGUUCUGUGAGUGAUGCUGUGCAAGAGCUUGGAUGGGCAGAGGACGGUCAGCUUGUUCCGUUCGAAAGCUUUUUGACCAGCAAAAAAGAAUUUGAUGAAGUUCCUUUGUCUCUAUCCAUUGGACACAGAAUUGAUGGUCUGUUUCAUAAUUCUGCUGGAGUGUGUAGCAUCCAUGAUGAUUUGGUUGAGUUUACCAGUACGUACGGAGCUGAGAGUAGUUUGCUUGCUGCAGUUGUUGCUGAUUUGGAGGUUCAACAGUUCAAGGCCGGAUGCAGAGCUCUGGGUCUGGUUUCCAAGCUUAUCAUUGAUCCUCUCUGGAGAGCCUUAACUUUGAAGGGAAACGUGUUGGAGAUGGAAGAAAGAUACCAAACCCUUGUUACCAAACUCAAGGAAUGGCAGGAAGAUGGGAGAGACCUUGUUAAAGGAAAUGCAUGCUUGUUUGAUGACAUUGAGGUACCCAAGAACCUUGUGUUUGACAGGCUUACCAUGUGGACUGACACAGACUUUUUUGAGUUGACUGUUCAGAUUGUUGAGUUGAUCCUAGCCAGUUUUCUGAAGGUAUGUUCUAUGAUGCUUCCAGUCGAACCAGAGCUCCUGUCAAAGAAAAAUGAUCGAUUCAGGAAGGAUUUGGCAAUAUUAGAUCAAUUGCAAAAAGCUAAGUCAAAUGCAGUCAGUAUUGCCAUUGAAGGCAUGGACAUGUGCAAGAAGAAUCACACUUGGGAAUGGCUGUCCUUUUUGGAUGAAUCAAAAAUGGUGUCAAUGAGGAAAACAUUCCAGACAGUGUAGGCAAAGGAAGAAGAAAAGCUCUGCCACACCUGCAGAAGAAUGGAAAUGGUAAAGGAAUAGACAUGAAAGACAGAGUGAAUGAGUCUUUUAUUUGUUUAUUUAUUUAGAAAUGAACCACAGUAGGACUAUAGAGGACAGAACCUUUUUAUAACAGGUUUAACUUUGCCCCUGUAUCCUGGUGAUGACAUUGCCUAUACAGCUCUUUCAAAAAAAAUCCAUGAACGUGCUUUUCUUUCUAGCGCCUUAGCUUUUGUGUUCAGACUGGUGAAAGAUAAACAGCAAUGCAACCUCAGACAAUAAGUAGAUGCAAGUAUAAUAUAGUUACACUAUAUACCUAUUUUGUGAUAUAUUGUAUAGCCUAAUGAUGUUCAAACGCGGUGUCAGUAAAUGUUGAAUAACGCUUCUCCAUUUGGCACCACCUGUAGUUGGGAAUGUGAAUGGUUUCACGAGCUUACCUGUUUUUAUAUUGUUUAAAAUCCAAUUCAGAGUUUUUUUCCGAAGUGUGCUGUCAGGAAAAGUGUAGAGGCUUAGGCUCAAUAGUUGAAUUUGCAUAUUUCCUUGGCCUUCUUUUGAUACCUGGUCUUGUCUUUGAAAAGACUAAUUGAAUGAAAAAAAUUAUAAUUUUGAAAGGAGACCAGUCGUUAUUUUAGUGUUAUUAGCUUAUUUCUGGACCAUUUUCCCCCUCACUUUUUGUAUGACCAUUGAAUUGCCUACUUGAAUGGUCAACUUAAAUAGAAACGAGAUGGAGAGCAAGGCUCUGAAAGUUGUCAACUUUUCCACUGUCAAAAUGAAUCAUGCUUUAUUUUUUUAAAUACCUUUUUUUAAAUCAUAUUUUGGUAAUCCAUUUUUGAGAGCCUGUUUUAUCUCUAUAUUUUUGUUGGAGAUCAAGAUGUUUUCAUUAGGACAAAUGCACACUGGACUGCAGUGCUUUUCUAUCUGCUGCAGCAUUCAACCUUCCACAUUACUGUAGACUUCAGGAAGAACAUGCUUUUAGAUAUAAACAUCAAAUAAUUAGCAAAAGGCUGAGUUCCAGGUUUGUGAUGUCCACCAUGAGAGAUUCUCAUUAAAGUUGAACCAGUGACUAGUCUCAGAUGGGGAGCUGGACCUCUUGAAGACCAAGCUAGACUGGCAGGCCUGUGGAUCUCUUGUUCUGGGCUACUCAGAGGUGCUGCCAGAACUGGACCUUGGCACUAUCAAUUCACAGACUACCACCUACAGCCCGUCCAUACAAACCUGCACAUAGGACAAGUGCUGGGGUGAGUAUGUUUUAGUUUGUGUGUGUGUGUGUGUGUCCUUCGAUUCAUUUUGUGCAUGUAAGUAUUGUCUGAUCAGUUAUUGACCACUCAUUCUCUUCCUCUCUGUAGCCUCAGUCACAAAGUCAUCACUGAUGCUCUGACUGAAACUAGCCUACACCAACUGGUCUUUGCCAACUGUUCCACUAACCUACCGUAUGAUGUGCAUUGGAGUGCUUGCCUGUGAUUGAGAAAGCGUGUGAUGUAGCCUCUUCAACAACAGACUUGUGAACAGAACAUCCUUCCUGACACACAAGACAAGAGUUCUGAGGUCUUGUAAAGAGGGAUGAGAGGACUGCCAAUAGAUUAAACUGAUUCAUUACUUUGAUCAGUCCUACUUUCAACACUUCGUACUAAAAAUGUACUCUGAUUGCCCACUUAAGCUUGCAAUGGAUUUCAGUGGAGUUAAACAUGACACAUGCAGUGUCACUGUUUCGUGUGGAAGGGGCUACGAGAAGGGGUCGAUUUGGAAUUCAGCACUGUCCAUGGGUUGACCGUCCUGAACUUUUUUUUCCUUAAAUGUUUUGUUUUUGACAGUACAGCUGGAAAUGUAAAGAUUGAAACAUAGUAGGGGCAUAGACAGAGGGUGGCCGAGGUGGAGCCCAAUCCCUGUUGCCAGGGGGCCCAAUCCCUGUUGCCAGGGGGCAUAUCUGGUACAGAGUCGGGGAGCUUAGACCACUACACUAGACUCCGUCACGACUGACCUGAACUUUUUACCAGAAAAUAAAUACUAUGUUCAUCAGACUCUCCUCACUGUAAAACUCAGAAUGGUUGUGAGGUCACAGGGAAAAGACUGAUCUGAGGGACCACAGACUCACAAAACAUUGUAGCUCACUUGACUGGAAAACAGCUCUUUGUGGUGCCUAUGUCUGACAUGAAGUAAAAAUGAAAACACAACAGAAAAUUGCUCUCUACUUCCUACCACAAUCUUAUAUAUUGCAUACUUAGAAUAUGAAUGUGAUUAUUCAUACACUCAUAUUAGGCUUAUUUCUCUUUGGUUGGGGUGUUCAAUGGUUAAGUGGACUAGCUACCACUAUGGCAUUUUGAUGUUAUGGCGUCAGCUCUGGCUGGCUGAGAAGACAAGUAAAAGGGCUAAUAGUUGGCAGGGCAAUUUUUGUUUUUCCCAACUUUGUAUUACCGUAUCAAAUAAUUUAAUUAAGGUAGAAAAAUCACUUUAUAUCGGUGUUAUGCCUGUUGUUCAAGCGUGUAACUGCCCUCUCAUUCGCUAGAAUGGUCCCACCUGAUCUCACCUCCUCCCGACUUCCUUCCAUCUUUGAAUACAUGUAUUUUCAUUGUUAGAGUGGCCACUUGAGUAUCUUAUCUAUAUAAUUGUCAUGACUGCCACUCCUUGGUGAGGAUCAAAGGUGCCGGAUCAGCUAGGCCAAUGGCUGACAGAUAGCCAAACUCUCUCUCUCUCCUGGGGGAGUUGGCCCGGUUUUAUGAUUUAACGACCGGAUUGUAAAUACCUGGCAGAAACUCUCCCUUUGGCUCUGCAGUAUUGAAAGACUGAGUGUUACAGAGAGACUCUUGCUAAAAACUUUAACAUCAAAAGAUUGGACAUUGGAACAUUAGUUUUGAAAUCCAAACGCUUGGAAUGGUUGGUGGGUUUAUUAUUUUGUGAUAUCAUUAAGGAUGGUAUAACUAAGUAACAUUGUAACUUUAAGAGCUUUCACAAUGUAUAGAUCAGAUUUGCAUGUUGCAUGUUACUGUUGUGAAGAUAAAAUGUGAUUUUAGCCUUCUAAAUGAGAAUUGUUUUUCAUAUAAACUUUUGCUAAGUCAGUAACCACGCCCACGUGAGCACAGACUUCGUGUCAGCAUGAUGGAACACCCCUUUUUACCUAAGCAUAAAAGGACUCGUAACGAAAUUUACAUUAGACCAAAACAGGCCGGGUUGCUGCCGGUUUGUAAAGUGGUCCUAGCUGUACCCUGAAUAAUCAACCAUUGAGACCAGUCUACGUGCAGCGUGAGCUGAAUACGUUACCAAUGGUUAAAUCUCUACAGUUGGGUAAUUUAAAGUAGUCUAUGUAGAACAAUUGACCCAGACGGGAAAGAAGAACAAUUCCCUAUCACCACUGUGUGAUACACCUCUGAUGGAUCCAUUCUAACGAACACUCCAGAACAAAAGAAGCCUACAACUACUAAGGAAAUUGUGACCUCUGGUGGACCACCAGAGACUUACAUCGAACCACCACAUUGAACUAUCGAGUUCAACAGAGAGACGACAGAGAAAGACAUCUACGCGUAAAUAUGUAUUGCAUUCCUUUUCUGAAUGAGCGGGUGUUAGGGUUCCUAAUAUCCAUAUUUACAGUGAGUGUAUUUUUCAACUGUAUGUACGAUAAGUCCACUCUCUUUGUCUCUCCCGCUCCUUAUCUUUCCCCACCCCCUUUCCAUUGUGUAACAAGCUGUCAUAUCGGGUUAGUCCACUAGGGACUGUUUCAUUGCAUUAUGUUAGUAAUAAAUAAUCUACACUGUGUGUGUGUAUUUCUGUGUGAUUAUUUAGUGAGUUAGUAAAUAAAUAAGCCAAUUUGUGUAUCGCUGAAUCAUCACUUAGGCUAGGGUUCGUGCAGAUUUACG
This 8697-nucleotide long non-coding RNA is filed under the name Salmo salar (Atlantic salmon). RNAcentral's name for it is "lncRNA (ENSSSAG00000107305.1)". The record is from RNAcentral. Lineage: Eukaryota; Metazoa; Chordata; Actinopteri; Salmoniformes; Salmonidae.